AUGCAAACACACAAACACAAUGAGGCACAUCCUCAAACCCUCGAGAACACACAAACACACACGUACGUACGUACGCACACACACACACACACACCAACAGACACAAAAAAAAUGCAAACACACAGACACACACCCACACACAAACACAAGCACACCAUCUUUGCAAUAUCUCUCCAACGUUUCUUCAUAUCCUCCACUCACUCCACAGCCACGGCCCACCUCUACCUCCCAAAGUCCCUUGUGCCUAUUUUAACUUUUUGUCUCUCUCUUUCUCCCUCUCCCUCUCUUCCUCGCUCGCUACCUCGACUCUGUGUAUUCCUUUCUCUCGUCUCUCCGUCUCUUGCCUCAGCAGCAGCAGCAGCAGUCUGUGAGUUAAGUUUAGCAGAUGCACCUGAUGGCAGCAGCAUCAUCCAGGAGCUGCUGUCAGCCGUCUGCCUUCAUCAGGGCUCCUCACACAGCGCCGCUGGGCCAAGAAAUUCAAGCUGAAGAGAUCAGAGGGCAUGAGGAAGAGGAGGAGAAGGAGAUGGAAGAGAAGGAGGGGGGAGGAGGAGGAGAAGGAGGAGGGUGAGGAUGAGGAGAUGGAAGAGGAGGAGGAGAAGGAGGAGGAAGAAAAGUAGGAGGAAAGGAAGGAGGAGGAAGAGGAGGAGGAGGAAGAGAAGGAGGAGGAUGAGGAGAUGGAAGAAGAGGAGGAGAAGGAGGAGGAGGAAGAGGAGGAGAAGGAGGAGGAGGGGGAACGAGUAAGAGGAGGAGGAGAAAGAGGAGGAGGAGAUGGAAGAGGAGGAGGAGAAGGGGGAGGAGGAAGAGGAGGAGAAGGAGGAGGGGUGAACGAGUAAGAGGAGGAGGAGGAAGAGGAGGAGGGAGAGGAGGAGGAGGAGGCCUGAUUUUCUCUAAGCGGACCAGGGCUGGGUAUCUCUAGUCCUUAUCCUCUCUAGAGCAAGCAGAAUGGUAGUGUCCAAAUAACGCUGGUCAAACCAGAAUCAGGAAAUAAGGAUUCCAGCUAUUUUCUCUGAGCUCUUCGGUCCAUGUGUCACUUAUCAACGUGUCACUUUUUCACUCUAUGUGUCACAUGCGCACCUUGUGUGACAUAUGUAAAGCGUAAGGUGUGUGUGUGAUAGACAGCAAUGUUCUGGAAUAAACGUCUCGGCGAGACAAUGAUUCCAUUCUAAUGCCUAAACAUCUCGUUUCCUUCUACUCACAGGACACUUCACAAACUAUCUCAAGUGUUCACUUCACUCCUGUGGAAGCCAGAAAAUAUGUGUCUGCAAAGCACUUUUGCAGACACAUGCCCCCGUCACACCUGGUCAUAAUUCCAUUAUGAUUGUGGCAAUGAAAUGAAGCUUUCAUCAAGGCCCGCAGACAGAAGGCAGAAAAGCUAUUAUUUCUCUCAUAUUCUUAGAUAUAGCGUUGCUUAUAACAUUAUGAUAUUAGGGUGCUUUGUACAAAAAAAGUGAGUGAUAAGUCUUAGUGGGUAUUUCCUAGUCCAAGAUGUUGACAUGUUUAACAGCCAUGGCAUUGGCUAGAUGACAUGAUUUGCUUUUAGUCCAGCAAUUACAUUUUAUGGUUUGAUUAGGAGCAAGCGGCAGAAUUUACAUGUCAUCAUUUAAUGAUUGGUUCUAUGAUAAUGUUGUUGUCAUGGGGUCGUAGAUCAUAUCCAGUCAAAAUGUGUUCAACUCCAGCACUUAAGCUGUCACUUAGAGACGGCUGGGCCAUCCAGUUCUGCCCUUGAUCGAACUCUGAGUCUAUUAGACACACACGCAGUACCUAGAUUACGGUUUGAAAUUUGUUCGAGGGAAUAUAUGCUCACAAACGAUUUUAUUUCCAAAACUUUCAAAUGACUGGAGUUGCACAUUCUGAUAAAGCCCCUCGUAAGAGCGCCUUCUUUAGGAAAAGUACAGGUCAGGUUCUGUCCGAGUGCAAAGGGUUUAGAGACAGAUCAGCAAACCUCAAACUGCGACACAAAGCAAUUGUGGCCAUUGAACGUGGUCCAGUUGCAAACUUUGUUCCUUUGUGAUUGCUGAUUCAAAUUGGAGUACAAAGUUGAACAUGCACGCUUGUUAAUUUUCAAGUUAAACAGCCUCCCUUGCUCUUGUCCACUUAGCGAUCAGACAACCACUACCACCAAUACCAUCAGACGCAUCAAAGGCAUUUCCAAUGAUUACCGCGCCCCCAUUAACGCACAGAGCUUAGUUUGAGGCCUGCGCGUCCUUCAUAUUGAACACAUCCAAUAAAUCCUCCUUAAGUGAUUGCAACCUUAAAACGAUUCUCUUCCUAAAUGAAUCCCAGGGCUGCGUCUUGCCUUUUCAGCGGAGGGCACCCAUGAAUCAAACAAUUAAGGGGGAAAAUAGACCCGGGUCAGCUGAUGCAGGCCUCCAGUUCACCUCCACCCACGCACCCACACCCCUCCACCAACACCAUCCCCCCCCUUUCUCGCCUCAAACCUACAGGAAAACAAGCAGGACAGACAAUUUCUUUCAAUUAGUCCAAACGGGUCAGCCCAAUAAAUUUCAGUUUGUUCCCCUCGACGCAAAGGCCCUGUUGCAUGUCCCGCGCAAAAUGAAGACUAAUGGGCUAUUGUAGAGCGGCUGAGCCCCUGAUUCCGUAUCAGUACACCACCCUCGCACCCUCGCACCCUCCCAUUCUCCUUUGCUUCUUUCUUUCUUUCUUUCUUUCUUUCUUUCUUUCUUUCUUUCUUCGUCUCCCCCCUCUUCUCUUUUUUCUCUCUUUCGUUCUCCUCCCCCACCUCCAUCACCCCCUACACAGCUAAGUGAGCCAGUGCUGACCAGGCGCCACGACAAAUGUUUAAUACAUUUAUUCACGACCUGCAUUCAUUUUCUGUUUUAAGCAUUAUUCCUGAGUAGUUGCGUGGCGUAGGGGGGUGUGUGUGGGGGGGGGGAGUGCUAUUCAUCACUUUGUGACAACAGCCAUGGACGUGACCAUCGUUCAAUGUCUGUAGCAGCUCCAACGGCGGUAGGCAAGGCACCGUAUUAUAACUUUCCUCCAGCGUUUUCAGAAAUAUAUAAACACCCAGCAUGCACCGGGGCCCUGUGAUUACCA
Molecule: long non-coding RNA, 3054 nt
Organism: Gadus morhua (Atlantic cod)
Lineage: Eukaryota; Metazoa; Chordata; Actinopteri; Gadiformes; Gadidae
Source: Ensembl